GUGGAAAAUGAUAUAUGAAUUUAAGAAUUAUACUAUUAGCACAGCACAACUGAAUGUUAGUUCAUUUAUGCCACAAUAAACCUAUAAUCAAAUACUUUUGAUCCUGUUUGCACUGUUCCAUGCUCUUUCAAUUUUGGACUAAUGUUAUUACCAUCUAUUAAGCAUGAGACCUUUCUGUGCUGGGAACAUUGCUUAUCAGAUCUGGGUAAUCUUCCUGUUGAAAUCCCUCUCAGUCAACAGAUGAAGUGGCAUGAUUAUUGCAUCUUCCUAGCUAGUGGCUAAUAGGUUGUGAGCUGUGUCUUUCUGAACGAUCCCUCUGGAUUUCCAGAGCUUGAAACAAUUAGAAGAGGCUCUCGUGAGUCUUAAGUCAUGAGCAUGUUCUUGAGCAUUCAGUUGUCUCAGCUCUACUGGACUGCUGAAUGCUGUCAGAUUUAGGAAUGUGGAAGUACCAUCUUGGAACAGAACCACGACCUGGCUACAUCUGUUAUCCCGUCGCCAGUGCUGCACAGUCCGGCACGGAUACUGCUGACAACGGCCUAUCAGCCCCGUAGCAGGCAGAGAGGGAAUAAUCCACCCUUUGGCCUUCUCUGGUGAUGCUCACACUAAUCUGUAUCAGUUAAUGAUUGGCUUGAAAUCUGAAACAUGAAAUAUUUUUUCUAUGUAGCUGAUACCUGAAUUAUACUUGAAUAUUCUGGAAAUAACUACUUAAUCGCUCUCUUAAUAUUGAAUCCUAGCCUUUAAUGGUCUCAUGUGACAGCAGGUUCUGCAGUUUGAUUACACAGUGAGUAUAAAAGUAUUGCGUUGUAUAGUAUUUUCUCAUGUUCCUUGUUUUCUGUCUACUCUUUUCUGCACCAUUUCUAAGACAGAUCCUAAUAGUCUCUGUUUUCCAGGGAGCAAUGUCUUUUCUACCCUUCCCCAAAUUUGUUCUGGUUUUCCAAAAUCCUUUCCAUAGAUGCAGCGAACAGAGUGCUUAUAAUAUUCUAGACAAAUUUGUGCCAACAGUUUCUCAUUCUAGCAUCAUCUUUGCAUUUUUGACUACAGUUGUGCACAGAAAUACUUUGUCACUGACCUGUCUAAAAUAAUGCUGAUAUCCUUUUCCUGAGUAAUUACUGCCAUGUAAACAUACCUACUAAUUCAGCUAAUUUGGAGUUGAGCAAAGUGUACUAGUAAUUCACACUUUUCCCUCCAAUGAAGUUUGCACUUAUCAACUUUGAUCUCCUUUCUUAUUUUUGUGUCCAUUUACCUAGUGUGAUUGGAUCCAUUUGUGCGGUAAUUUCAUUUUUCCUUCUCCUGUGCAUAGUGCAUGUUCAUUGAUAUUUGAACUGAGAUGCUGCGUUCCUAGGUAGAUAGAAUAAUCCAUUGUAAUCUGUGUAGGAACACUUUUAGUUAAAUUUGUAACUAAGCAUAUCAGGGAAAAAAUGCAAUAUAUUAUGCUAUAUUUAGUAUUUAAAUAAAAUAAUGAGCACUAACAGCCAUUGUUAAAUGAGUGAGAAAGAGAAAAGUGUGGGAGGAAUUGGGUUAUUUUUAAAUCAGUUUCUAAUUCAUUUGUUUAUUUCUGUAAAGCUGGCAAAUAUCUGUACCAAAACAAAUCCAAAAAUGUAAAUGUCCAGCAUUAUAAUUUACCACAACAUAGGCACAAAUGGCUAUAGUUAAUUACUUUUCUGAGAGUUCAUUUUGAAAUGAAAAUUCAGAGCAUCAGUAUUAAAGUAGGUUAUGAGCAAAAGGAAAACAGCUAAUGGAGACUCACUUUCUUGCAAAAGGAACCCCCCCCCCCCCCAUGCAUUUAAAAGAAACCCUGUAUGUGCAAGAAAAUUUGGUAGACGAAGUGUGUGUGGGGGGAGCCUUAAAAACACAAUAGAGAAAAUUUGGAGAGAGAUCAAAAUAAGAGAGUGGUUUGAGGGUUUAAUUUAGAGAGAUCAGAGAGAGAAGAUUGAAAGACUGAAACUGUGUUCAGCAACUUAAAGAGAAGACUGAGGUGCCAGAGUGUCUGAGAAGUAAAAUAACUGAUGUUGGGAGUGAACGAGGCUGGGCAGAAGUUAUAACUCAUAGAGGCUAGGAAAUGAGAAGUUCGGUCAAACAUGAGCUUUGUGAGGAUGCAACUUCUGAUAAUGGAAUGGAUGCAGAAAACCCUGCGUGUGGGACUUUGAAGGGACCCCAUUGCUGGAUAUAGCUCUGAUGCCCUAAUUAGGAAGCCAAAGAAAGGCAAAAGUCUACUUUGUUUUUACUUUUUCACUUUCUCCGUGAUGGCCCUCCUCACCAUCCUUUUUGCUGCCUUUCCUGAAUAUAUAGACUGUUUAAAGUUGAACUGGCUAAUUAGACUGCCAUGUUAAAAUAAAUAGUUCUAGUUCUGAGAGUGAAAAGCUGUGGUUCAAAUUAAAGCCAAAGCACGCAAUCUGCGUAUCUCUGCAUGAUGUGCAUGCUGCUUUGCGGAUGGUGAAAUCCAUCCAGUGACCACAAUGAUUUUUCUUUAAACAGUACUCGAGACUGAUUUUCAAAAAUGUCAGACAGAAGCAAGUUUAGAACAGUCGGAUUGAAUUUAACUAUAUUUCAAUACCCUUUUAUCCACUCUCCUUCACCUGUCUUUCCAUCUUCUCUCCCUGCUUUCUUCUUGUCUCCCAAGAACAGUUACAGUCACACAGAUAUUUUAGAAUUUGUAUAGUUCUAAUUUUGAAACCGAUACUCUUCUAUUGUAAACUGGCACACUUGCAUUGAAGGUAUACUGGAUUAAUCCAAAUAGUGCUCUGUCCUUUUCUUCCACAUGUGAAAGUGCAAGAAGUCUUAAUGCAAAUCCAUAAUUGUUGAUACACAAACUAGGCAAAUUUUCCUUAAAAUAAGUAAUAGAAAAGCAGAACGAAGUGCAGAAUCAAAAUACUAAGGAAAGACACAAAUUUUGAUAGCCCCAUUUUUUAAGAGUAGUAUGCAGCCUAAAUAGA
Long non-coding RNA from Dromaius novaehollandiae (emu), 2933 nucleotides. RefSeq lists it as uncharacterized. NCBI's taxonomy places the organism in Eukaryota, Metazoa, Chordata, Aves, Casuariiformes, Dromaiidae. The record is from RefSeq and is a predicted model, not a curated record. The transcript has 3 exons.